This 74-nucleotide transfer RNA is filed under the name Pseudomonas putida. Its description in RNAcentral is "tRNA-Lys". The stretch from base 5 to 70 matches the Rfam family "tRNA". From Rfam's summary of the family: Transfer RNA (tRNA) molecules are approximately 80 nucleotides in length. Their secondary structure includes four short double-helical elements and three loops (D, anti-codon, and T loops). Further hydrogen bonds mediate the characteristic L-shaped molecular structure. tRNAs have two regions of fundamental functional importance: the anti-codon, which is responsible for specific mRNA codon recognition, and the 3' end, to which the tRNAs corresponding amino acid is attached (by aminoacyl-tRNA synthetases). tRNAs cope with the degeneracy of the genetic code in two manners: having more than one tRNA (with a specific anti-codon) for a particular amino acid; and 'wobble' base-pairing, i.e. permitting non-standard base-pairing at the 3rd anti-codon position. The record is from RNAcentral. Lineage: Bacteria; Pseudomonadati; Pseudomonadota; Gammaproteobacteria; Pseudomonadales; Pseudomonadaceae.
UUGCGAAUUAGCUCAGCUGGUAGAGCGCCUGACUUUUAAUCAGUAUGUCGCGGGUUCAAUUCCCGUAUUCCGAU